GGCCACUUAUGGUAAAUCAAUCAUACAUAAUGUAGCAGAAACCAUUACUGAAUUCCUUAUUUAUGUUGAAAUUUCUUUCCUACAAUCAAAUAUGAAAUUACCAUAUAAAAAAAAUGGCUUUUAAAUAAGGCAUUAUCAGAUUGACUAAGUGUGUAUGGUCUUCUUUUUUCUUGUUUUGUCUAGCAAGAAUGCACGCCAAACCAUCAGGGAACCAACAGAAGCAGAUUGCAGAAUGAUCUCCUCCUCCAGGAUCAAAACCUGUUGAUUAGAGAAUGAAGGAUGUUAAAUCAACUGAGCAUUCCACAAAAGCUUGCUUAUAUAGACUCUUUAAUGAUGGAGUGAACCCUUGGCCAUGUCUCGUCUGCAAAUUUGAUGCAGGAGUUUGUAGAACAACCACCUCUGAACCCAUCGCAGAUGCUGGCUUCAUUAGGGACUUUCAUGCAUCAGGUCAGGAAUUUACGUCUUCUCAGGAAUAAUGCAGGAGGACAAGGACUUUUUCGAUCAACCACCCACCACCACCUCCACUACCGAGAUGCCUAUACUACUAAAAUGUGACCUCUGCAUACACUUUUCCACGCAUAAGGGUACUGUCCCUGUCUAUACGCUUAACAUCAUCAAUUCACUGGAAGAAUUGCAGCUGCAGAUCAUCAAGGUUCUCAUCCCUGCUCCUCUGUUUGCCUUCUGGAAUUAGAGGGUCUAUUGAUGAUCCGAGCCAUCAACCUAUUGGAGAUGAAACAAAGAUACAGGCCUUGACCUCAAACUUGUAAAUUAUUCUUGUUUUUAUCUUAUUUUUCUCCUCUAGUUCUAUAGGAAAACUCUUAGUUGCACUAUAAAUUAUUUUCUAUACUCAAUCAAUCAGAAAUUAAAAAAAAUAAAUAUAUAUUGUAUUGUAUAAGAUGAUAAUCAUUUGUAAAUAAUUAAUUAAGAUACAUAGGUAUCAAAAGAAAAUAUAAAUAAAAUGAAUUAAAAUAUAACACCUCACAACAGCAACACCCAUCAAAACAAGCAAACAAUCCCAAACAAAAGCAAAAUCCCAUUCAAUUUCAUGCUUAUGAUGUCCAAAUAUAACGAAAUAGAUCCCGAAUCCACCUUAUCAUCGUCGCUUACAUCUUGAGGAUGAUCGAAAUUGGCUGGUACAAUAGUAUCUGGUACGGAAUCAGCACCAUUGACAUCAGGACUAUUUGGCGCCGGAGCCUGAUCCUCAGGACUUUUGAGACUUUCCGGCAAACCUUGACCGUGAGUGACAUUAAUUUGGAAACGUUGACCACUCUUGCAUUGAUCACCAUCAUAAUCUCCAGAGAAGAAAUAAGUGAUUCCUUCCUUUAAUAGAGGAACAGCCACAGUGACUCCAUGAGUGUCAGUGUUUGAAGGAUCAGUGGCUGACCAUUCUAUGGUAUCAUUGUCUACAGCAUUGUCAUAAUCACACAACUUGUAUGUUGUCAAAUUGUAGGUUUGAACAACAGAAUGAUUGUUAUUGGUGUUGAAAAUGAGGAAAUCUCCCAAUCCGAAGUUCUUGGAAUCAGCCCAUUUCUGGUAAUUUACAGUAGGCUUUUCAGUAUUGUCAUACCAACCCAAGGAAUCACCCACUGUGUAGUUUUUGUAAGCUUCAACAGAUCCUGAAACACAAAGAAGACAAUACAAGGGAAGAAGUACAGAGCCUGCUAAUCUUCUGUAUCUUGUCUGUUCCAUCGAUUUCUCGAGGUGUGUGAUCUUUGUAGAUAUGGAAAACUCUGGAUUUUUCCUAUUCUGAGGAAUAAAGGCAAUGGCAAUGGAACUGUUAUAUGCCUCUACUUUUAUAUCUAAAAUUCAG
RNAcentral lists this unclassified non-coding RNA (1810 nucleotides) under Hevea brasiliensis (rubber tree). The record is from RNAcentral. Lineage: Eukaryota; Viridiplantae; Streptophyta; Magnoliopsida; Malpighiales; Euphorbiaceae.